AGCGAACGCUGGCGGCGUGCCUAAUACAUGCAAGUCGAGCGAGAAAGUUCCCUUCGGGGAGUGAGUAAAGUGGCGCACUGGUGAGUAACACGUAGAUAAUCUCCCCUAGAGCGUGGACUAACUCCGGGAAACUGGGGCUAAUACCGCAUACACUGAUUGAGACGCAUGUCUUGAUUAGCAAAGGAGGCCUCUAUUUAUAAGCUUUCACUUUAGGAUGAGUCUGCGUUCCAUUAGGUAGUUGGUAGGGUAAUGGCCUACCAAGCCAAAGAUGGAUAGCUGGUCUGAGAGGACGACCAGCCACACUGGCACUGAAACACGGGCCAGACUCCUACGGGAGGAAGCAGUAGGGAAUAUUGCACAAUGGGCGAAAGCCUGAUGCAGCGACGCCGCGUGAGGGAUGAAGGGCUUCGGCUCGUAAACCUCUGUCAGGUGGGACGAUGGGACAUAUGGCUAAUAUCCAUGUGUUUUGACGGUACCGCCGGAGGAAGCACCGG
This 494-nucleotide ribosomal RNA is filed under the name uncultured bacterium. Its description in RNAcentral is "partial 16S ribosomal RNA". It matches the Rfam family "Bacterial small subunit ribosomal RNA", at positions 29 to 496 of the family's 1533-position model. The record is from RNAcentral.